GACGAACGCUGGCGGCGUGCCUAAUACAUGCAAGUAGAACGCUGAAGGAGGAGCUUGCUCUUCUGGAUGAGUUGCGAACGGGUGAGUAACGCGUAGGUAACCUGCCUGGUAGCGGGGGAUAACUAUUGGAAACGAUAGCUAAUACCGCAUAAGAGUAGAUGUUGCAUGACAUUUACUUAAAAGGUGCAUUUGCAUCACUACCAGAUGGACCUGCGUUGUAUUAGCUAGUUGGUGGGGUAACGGCUUACCAAGGCGACGAUACAUAGCCGACCUGAGAGGGUGAUCGGCCACACUGGGACUGAGACACGGCCCAGACUCCUACGGGAGGCAGCAGUAGGGAAUCUUCGGCAAUGGACGGAAGUCUGACCGAGCAACGCCGCGGGAGUGAAGAAGGUUGUCGGAUCGUAAAGCUCUGUUGUAAGAGAAGAACGAGUGUGAGAGUGGAAAGUUCACACUGUGACGGUAGCUUACCAGAAAGGGACGGCUAACUACGUG
RNAcentral lists this ribosomal RNA (495 nucleotides) under uncultured bacterium. RNAcentral's name for it is "partial 16S ribosomal RNA". It matches the Rfam family "Bacterial small subunit ribosomal RNA", at positions 28 to 507 of the family's 1533-position model. The record is from RNAcentral.